Molecule: long non-coding RNA, 486 nt
Organism: Sinocyclocheilus rhinocerous
Lineage: Eukaryota; Metazoa; Chordata; Actinopteri; Cypriniformes; Cyprinidae
Exons: 3
Source: RefSeq, a predicted model, not a curated record
CGACGACUUGGAAUACAAGGCAGGAGUCAUGUCGACCACAUUUAUGAUGUUUCUGUGGUGCUCCCCGUCCUUUUUGAAAUAUUAGACUGAUCCAAACAGCGUCGGGACAGAAAUGUCUGGAACAACAACGACAACAACGAAAAAUAUAGCGUGCACAAGAAGAACCGGAGCCGUGACUGCACUGUUUUCACUGAUUUACUCUGCACACUGCAACAACAACAACAUACAACACGGGAGUGCAUUCUAGAGGCCAUCAGGUAUUAUAACAUCAACUCAAAUACAUUACACAUAGCAUCUACGUUCAAUAGCAUAAAAGUUCCACUUCAGAAGGGAACGUUUAAUGCAGCGCUGAGCUGAUGUAGAGGUGCUGCCACAGAAAUUUUAAAAUCUUUUUCCAUGCAUCCUCUUGUGCGUAUGCGUGCAGUUUGGUUUGUCCACCCCAUAGCAUGACAACUGCAGGAACAACAACAACAUGCAUUAACAUGU